Molecule: transfer RNA, 73 nt
Filed under: Pelodiscus sinensis (Chinese soft-shelled turtle)
Lineage: Eukaryota; Metazoa; Chordata; Testudines; Trionychidae
Rfam family: tRNA
About the family: Transfer RNA (tRNA) molecules are approximately 80 nucleotides in length.
Source: Rfam by way of RNAcentral
GCCCCAGUGGCCUAAUGGACACAGCACUGUCUUGUGGAGCCAGGGGUUGUGGGUUCAAGUCCCACCUGGGGUA